GCAGACUCUUUAGGCUUCUUCCUGUGACACGACUCUUGUCAAAACAAGUCCCGUGGGCGUUGCUACCUUCGACGUGGGUGGGAAAGAGCCUGGAAGAGGAAGAGAGCUGAGAUUUCGCGGGGCGCGCCUUGCUCUUCCUGAAGAUCCGUCAGUUCCGUGCCAGCUCCACUGCCCGUUCCUCGCCUGCUGCUCUCUUGGCACCAGUCUCCUGAAAUGCCUGGGUGACAGCACAGCUUGAAUUUUAAGAGGAUUUUGCCGUGUCCCCAGAUGGAAAGGCAGAAGUGUUUGCCCUCUGGGAACCAGGCCCUCUGGAACUGCAGAACCUAGAAUUGCACACGAGUUCCAGUGGGAGCCUGGGAUCACUCGCUGGACGGUGGACAGUGGCGGGACCUCUUCUUCCAGCCGUUUCCCAGCCCCACACAGCACUGUGUCACGGUAUGAUGGCCAAGAAAUUUCUUUUUCAAAAGGGAACACUUCUAAGAUUAAGAAGAUGUGCUACCAGAUGAAUUCCAAGAAACAGAUGUAAAAUAAGAUACUCCCAGGCGAACCAGGGAUGUUGUGGGUCUUGGGAAGGAAAGGGUUGGCCGGGCUCUGUGUCUGGUCAAAUCUCCCAGGAACCUUGCUAAUCAGACUUCUGCCGAUACUUACUUGCAGAAAGAGUAUGAAGAGCCCUCAUCUACGGAAUGUCUUUAGCAGGCAGGACCUUGUCUUUCUAGGUGGCAUGUGAUAAACAAACAUAGUAGUUAUAGAUUUGUAGCACUUGGAUCUCUGGAAGAUGUUGAUGUCAAAUAUAUGAUUAUUAGAAAGUGAAAUAGGGAUAUUUCAUGAUUGAAAUUACUCCCUUUUGUGAGUACAAUGUCCUGCCUGCCCACUUGGGAGCCUCAUAUAGUAAAUCUUGACGAGCAAGAGCCUGGGAAGUUGCAAAGGUAGUCUCCUCUUCAACUUCACUCACCAGGACCUUGGGAUUGAUUGCCUAGCCUUUUGAAUUACUAGGAAAACUUAGAAACUGGUGCAGUUUCUUGAGACUUUGACUUGAUAGUUUAAAUUUCCCAAUUUACUAGUAUAGACUUGUGCAGAAUACAUGUUGAUAAAGUUCUUGAUCUCUCCUCUGGCUGAUCAUAGAGCCACCCUCAAGCCUAACGUCAUGCAUUUAUGUCUUUUCUCUUGUUUUCUUGAUUGUCCUUAUCUUUAGAAUCCCGCCUACCACAGUCACAAACACAACGCCAUAGACAUAAUGCCAUUUUUGCCCAUAAAUAUUCCGAUGUGUAUUUCCUAAAAACAAGUGCUUGCUCUUCCCUAGCCACAGCAGCAUGGUUAAAAUCAGGAACUAACCUUAAUGCAGACUAGCAUCUAAUCUGCAGACCUUUAUGCAACUGUUUCCAAGUGCUCCACGCACGCUCCUGAUGGAGAACAAACAAGGAGACCAAGUUCCGGUUCCAUCUUUCAUCCCAGAUCACGUGCCACACUUGAUCGUCUCAUCUCUUUAGCCUCCUUUAAUCUGGACUGUCUCCUUGGUCUGUCCUGACCUUCAUGACCUUGACUUUUGAAAGAACGUGUGGCCUGUACAAGUUUCCAAAAAACAUUUUUCAACAAGAUAUUUCACUUGAAGGAGAACUUACUCGGUAUGAGUUGUGUUAGAAUAAUCUAGUCCUGGGAGUUCCUGUUGUGGCGCAGUGGUUAACGAAUCUGACUAGGAACCAUGAGGUUGCGGGUGCAGGCCCUGCCCUUGCGCAGUGGGUUAACGAUCCAGCGUUGCUGUGAGUUGCAGUGUAGGUUGCAGACGCGGUUCGGAUCCCGCAUUGCUGUGUCUCUGGCGUAGGCCGGUGGCUCCUGCUCCGAUUGGACCCCUAGCCUGGGAACCUCCAUAUGCCGCGGGAGCGGCCCAAGAAAUAGCAAAAAGACAAAAAAAAAAAAAAAAAAAAAAAAAG
Molecule: long non-coding RNA, 1928 nt
Filed under: Sus scrofa (pig)
Lineage: Eukaryota; Metazoa; Chordata; Mammalia; Artiodactyla; Suidae
Description: lncRNA (ENSSSCG00040045653.1)
Source: RNAcentral